RNAcentral lists this ribosomal RNA (443 nucleotides) under uncultured bacterium. RNAcentral describes it as "partial 16S ribosomal RNA". It matches the Rfam family "Bacterial small subunit ribosomal RNA", at positions 338 to 795 of the family's 1533-position model. The record is from RNAcentral.
CCUACGGGUGGCAGCAGUGGGGAAUAUUGGACAAUGGGGGGAACCCUGAUCCAGCGACGCCGCGUGAGUGAAGAAGUAUUUCGGUAUGUAAAGCUCUAUCAGCAGGGAAGAAAGAAAUGACGGUACCUGACUAAGAAGCCCCGGCUAACUACGUGCCAGCAGCCGCGGUAAUACGUAGGGGGCAAGCGUUAUCCGGAUUUACUGGGUGUAAAGGGAGUGUAGACGGCCAGACAAGUCAGAAGUGAAAGCCCAGGGCUCAACCGCGGGACUGCUCUGGAAACGGUAGAGCUUGAGUGCGGGAGAGGCAGGCGGAAGUCCUAGUGUAGCGGUGAAAUGCGUAGAUAUACGGAGGAACACCAGUGGCGAAGGCGGAUUGCUGGACAGUAACUGACGCUGAGGCGCGAAAGCGUGGGGAGCAAACAGGAUUAGAUACCCUUGUAGGC